This 253-nucleotide ribosomal RNA is filed under the name uncultured bacterium. RNAcentral describes it as "partial 16S ribosomal RNA". It matches the Rfam family "Bacterial small subunit ribosomal RNA", at positions 524 to 776 of the family's 1533-position model. The record is from RNAcentral.
UACAGAGGUCUCGAGCGUGAGGCGGAAUCACUGGGCUUAAAGCGUGUGUAGGCGGAUUGGUAAGUACCUUGUGAAAUCCCACGGCUUAACCGUGGAACUGCUUGGUAUACUGCCUGUCUUGAGCCAGCUAGGGGCGACCGGAACAAAUGGUGGAGCGGUGAAAUGCGUAGAUAUCAUUUGGAACGCCAAUGGUGAAAACAGGUCGCUGGGGCUGUGCUGACGCUGAGACACGAAAGCCAGGGGAGCAAACGGG